This 21-nucleotide transfer RNA is filed under the name Mesochaete undulata. RNAcentral describes it as "partial tRNA-Ser". The record is from RNAcentral. Lineage: Eukaryota; Viridiplantae; Streptophyta; Bryopsida; Aulacomniales; Aulacomniaceae.
GGAAAGAGAGGGAUUCUAACC